ACGGGCCCGCACAAGCGGUGGAGUAUGUGGUUUAAUUCGAUGAUACGCGAGGAACCUUACCUGGGCUCGAACGUAAGAUGACUGUAGGUGAAAGCUUACAUCUCUUCGGAGCAUUUUUACGAGGUGCUGCAUGGUUGUCGUCAGCUCGUGCCGUGAGGUGUCGGGUUAAGUCCCAUAACGAGCGCAACCCUACCUUUAGUUGCCAUCAGGUAAUGCUGGGGACUCUAAAGGAACUGCCUACGCAAGUAGUGAGGAAGGCGGGGAUGACGUCAAAUCAGCACGGCCCUUACGUCCAGGGCUACACACGUGCUACAAUGGCCGAUACAGAGGGCAGCUACCUGGUGACAGGAUGCAAAUCUCCAAAGUCGGUCUCAGUUCGGAUCGGAGUCUGCAACCCGACUCCGUGAAGUUGGAUUCGCUAGUAAUCGCGCAUCAGCCAUGGCGCGGUGAAUACGUUCCCGGGCCUU
Molecule: ribosomal RNA, 467 nt
Filed under: uncultured Sphingobacteriales bacterium
Lineage: Bacteria; Pseudomonadati; Bacteroidota; Sphingobacteriia; Sphingobacteriales
Description: bacterial SSU rRNA
Rfam family: Bacterial small subunit ribosomal RNA
Source: RNAcentral